UGGGGAAUAUUGGACAAUGGGCGAAAGCCUGAUCCAGCCAUGCCGCGUGUGUGAAGAAGGUCUUCGGAUUGUAAAGCACUUUAAGUUGGGAGGAAGGGCAUUAACCUAAUACGUUAGUGUUUUGACGUUACCGACAGAAUAAGCACCGGCUAACUCUGUGCCAGCAGCCGCGGUAAUACAGAGGGUGCAAGCGUUAAUCGGAAUUACUGGGCGUAAAGCGCGCGUAGGUGGUUUGUUAAGUUGGAUGUGAAAUCCCCGGGCUCAACCUGGGAACUGCAUUCAAAACUGACUGACUAGAGUAUGGUAGAGGGUGGUGGAAUUUCCUGUGUAGCGGUGAAAUGCGUAGAUAUAGGAAGGAACACCGGUGGCGAAGGCGACCACCUGGACUAAUACUGACACUGAGGUGCGAAAGCGUGGGGAGCAAACA
Molecule: ribosomal RNA, 427 nt
Filed under: uncultured bacterium
Lineage: Bacteria
Description: partial 16S ribosomal RNA
Rfam family: Bacterial small subunit ribosomal RNA
Source: RNAcentral